AUUAUAACACACCCAUAUAAAUAAAUAUUCAUUCACUAUAACCCGAGAUGAACAAACCAUUUUUCCUCCUUAGUACGGGCGACGGAACAGGAGAAUAUAGAGCAAUAGAAAAAGUA
RNAcentral lists this ribosomal RNA (116 nucleotides) under Diapterus brevirostris. RNAcentral's name for it is "partial 16S ribosomal RNA". Lineage: Eukaryota; Metazoa; Chordata; Actinopteri; Gerreiformes; Gerreidae. The record is from RNAcentral.